Molecule: long non-coding RNA, 3388 nt
Organism: Drosophila pseudoobscura
Lineage: Eukaryota; Metazoa; Arthropoda; Insecta; Diptera; Drosophilidae
Exons: 3
Source: RefSeq, a predicted model, not a curated record
CUAUGGCACACACACGAAACCAAACCAUCUUUUUUCUCUUCUUCAUUAGCAGUUGAACAAAAGCUGAUGAGCAGCUUAAAGGCCUACCUACCAUCUCGGGAAUGGGGGGUAUCUAUCUUCUUAAAGAUAGAACAAAAUUCUUCAUUCUUCAUAGACUAUAACCAGUUCUGUCUCGCAAUCGAUGAACUUCACAAAUCAAUCGAAACGGAUCUCGACAUUCACCAAGCAUUCUACGAAUCUACCAUUCUCUUUGCCUCUCUUUUGUUCGAUAAGUUGCGCCACGCUCCACGUACAAUCUCUUUUGGUGUUGUUUUUACAACCUUUGCUUUUACCUCAACCCCAACCCCAAACGCAAACCAUGUACCAAAAAGCUUUCUCAAGACCUGUUGCCUGUUGGCUGGUGUAAGGAAGUGCAGAUGGCGCCUUAGACAUGACUUCAAUUAAAGUGCAAUAACAACUCUAUUACUAGCGAAUGGCUGUAUCAAUAAGAGUCUUCUUACAGUCGGACAGACGGGCAGGCAGUCGGCAGCUAGCCAGAUGACGUGAGAUAUGAAGAGCUCUAAAACAAUAAAAAUCUGAAAUCAAUUUCUAUAAAAGCAGCUCCAGCAGCAGUAGCAUCACAAUCGGCCGAGCAGAUGGAGAAGCAAUGAUGCGUAAACGUGUUGGGGCCGAAGAUGAUGGGGGUUGAUGGGAGGGGUGGGGGCCUCGGCUACCGGUUAAAGUCGAUUCAUGUUCCAAAAGGGGUCUCCAGUCCCGGUCUCUGUCCCUGUGUUCCUGUGGCGGAGCCGAACCAGGCUCACACCUUAAAUGGCGACUGGGACAAGCUGCAGCUUCAAGAGCCUGUGAUUAUCUGAGAAAGAAGCGAGAAAUAUUUAUGAACUGAUGGCCCCAGUCAUUGAUGAGGAUCCGAUGCUGUCCGGAGUGCUGAAUGGACUGCAAUGAUGCUAUCACCAGGCCAUCUAAGGGGAGUUUCUCUGUCUCUCUAGAUCUACCUCCAACUCCAACUCCAUCUCCAUCUCUAGCUCGAACUCCAUCUCCUACUCCAGGUCCAUAGGCCACAAUGAGUUGAUGGAUAGUUGCGUAGCAGGAAGCACGCUCCAAGUAACUUAUGAAAAUGUAUAAAGAAAAAAAGUAGUAAUAAUAAGAAAGAAACAAAUCUUGGGACGGGGUUUCGGUGACCGAGCUCAACAGGUGUAAUAAUUGGAAUCUGUUUUCCAUCUGGCAUCUCCAUGGCGGCGUAGACCCUAAUCAUGGUGAGUGAGCGCGCGAGCCAAAAGAUACUAAAUUCUGCAGAUACUUUCCGGGCAGUCUUCCGACUUGCGGUUACGCUUCGUGGGCUGUGUCUAGGCAUUAAACCAACCAGCAGCUGUAAAAUUACAUCAAAUGUUUAACCAACCCCCAAGUGGGGAGAGCUCCAUCUACUCAACCUCCGAGACAAAUUUCUGGUAUAGACCGCACAGAAUUUUACUUUAUUUUGAGUGAUUACCAGAACCGUACCGAGCCGCACUAUCCUUGCAGGAGACUCAGACGAGAGUCUGACGCUUUCCCACGCUCAGAGCCACUGCUCCUGACCUGCCUCUAAUUAAAGAGGCAGCCAAGCGUUGCCACAUGUCACACCCAGUUCGCUGAUGUUGCAGUUGCACUUUCCAGCUCUUCUCCUUAUUUCUGUGUAUUUUUUCGUGGAUGACUUACGCAUUACAAAUGAAGCAAAUGGGAAUUUACAUAUCAAUCCCCAAAACCUGCGCCUCAUGCUGAUAAUUAUCUUUGCACACCAAGUGCCAGGCUCUCGUUUUUUAUUAUUAUUUUUUUUUUUUGCUAUUUCCCUCUCUUUCUCUGUCUCUUUCUGUUUGUAAUUGAAUUGGAGUGCAGCCGCGAAAAGGUCACAGACACUGCACAUGGGCCAGCAAGCGGAGUCAGCAAUAAGCCAAACACCAAGCUACAAAAUAUGGGAUAUACAAAAAGAAGUGCGGAAUAUCUUAAUGUCGAGACACGUGAACCAUGAGAAAAUUGCAUAUUAAGUGAAUGAUAAAUUUGUGGCUAAUCUUGUACAUUGCAAAUUAUUUUAUAGAGCUCUCCUCCCUCUAUUUUAUUUGAAUCAAUACCAGAUGCAAUUGGAAACUUCCAUUAAAUAUAUUUACAUAUCAUAUCGUACAUUUCCUUAGAAAUGUUUGUUGUUGUAUACUUUUCCUAUGUGUGGAGACUAACUUGAACUUGAAUGAUUAUUUGUUCAUCUUGAAAUAACACUCCUUCUGUCUAGUGUAAUUAAAGCCAGUGCCUUGGCGCGUGAGAUCAGCCAUGAAUAAGGCAGGAGCCGUGGCCAUAGCCAUAGUUGUAGAUGUAUCUCCGGCUGGAGCUAGAGCUGGUGCUGGUGCUGUAGCUGGAGCCACCUGUGCGCACAAAAAUAAUGCAAAUUAUCAGCUGAAAUUGCACGAAUGGUCAGGUGCAUCGUCAUAAUGAAGAAACUUAGGACGAGGCAGAAGGCAGAAGCAGAAGCAGCUGGGGAAGAUGGGCCAGAAGUCGCCGCUUCUUUCAUAAUUGAGUUGCAAAUGUUUCGGGGAGUGUUGCCUGCAGAAGGGGUUAAAGAGUGGCACUUUUUGGCUUUUUGGUUCCCAUGGCCGACAGAAAAGCGGGCUUAAACACUCCGUUUCAUAGAUAAUCAUCAUAAUUAUCUGGCAUACAAUAAAUAUAAUAUCCUAGGCAAAUUACAACAAUUAGGCAGCUCCCAGCUCACAGUUGGAAAACACCCAAAAAAAAAACCCAGGGGGAAAGCAAAUGAUCGUUGGGCUGCCUGUAUUUAUAUUCGAGUAUAGUAUAUGUAUCUCUCUCUCUGAAUACAAUGUAUUGUAUGAUCUGCUCUGCAGUGGGCCACAAUGAUAGAGACAAUGGCUGUGCGGCCGCAUAAUAGACAUAAUUUUCACACGCGUUUCAUUUCGGGGAGAGCAGCCCAAAUUAGGCAGAAAAACACUCUGCGGCGACGCGACGGGACCUGCCUGGCCAAAAAGAGUAAAACGCGAGCAAAUGUUUAAGCCACAGCGGGGUAGGCAGGGAAGGGCCCACGAGGGCUGGGGCAGAAACAUUUCAAAAAGGGGAAAUAUCAUUCGGUAAUUUCGGGUCGAUUAGAAAGUUGAUGUGAGAAAGGUUAUGCCACAGUUACCUCAGGUUAGAUUGCAUAAGACAGCUGCCUUACAAUGAAUAAUAUGGUGUGUAAAAUGGUUAAAUCGGUGUAUAAAUGUUCUUAGAUAUAAGAAAAUCCUAUCGGAUAAAGCCAUACCCAGAGAAAAAAGCCCUAAAAUUGUAAUAAUCGUUUUUAUACUUGGAUUUCAAAAUGUAUACCAAGAAAUUUGCUUCGAAAGUGGAAAUAAAGAAGUUUGGCUUCUCUUUAUUGGUA